AUCUCGUACGAUCACUGAAGUUAAGCAACGUCCAGCCUGGUCAUUACCCAGAUGGGUGACCACUUGGGAAUACCAGGUGCUGUAAG
Molecule: non-coding RNA, 86 nt
Organism: Acanthosepion pharaonis
Lineage: Eukaryota; Metazoa; Mollusca; Cephalopoda; Sepiida; Sepiidae
Source: the annotation of a GenBank genome assembly